GUCUGAUGAAAGGUAUAAUGUGUGUCUGAUGACAGGUAUAAUGUGUGUCUGAUGACAGGUAUAAAGUCUGUGUCUGAUGACAGGUAUAAUGUCUGUGUCUGAUUACAGGUAUAAUGUCUGCAUCUCAUGAUAGGUAUAAUGUUUGUGUCUGAUUACAGGUAUAAUGUCUGUGUCUCAUGUCAGGUAUAAUGUUUGUGUCGAGGACAGGUAUAAUGUCUGUGUCUGAUUACAGGUAUAAUGUCUGUGUCUGAUGACAGGUAUAAUGUCUGUGUCUGAUGACAGGUAUUAUGUUUGUGUCUGAUGACAGGUAUAAUGUUUGUGUCUGAUGACGGGUAUAAUAUCUGUGCUGAUGAC
This is a long non-coding RNA of Haliotis rubra (blacklip abalone), 354 nucleotides long. RefSeq lists it as uncharacterized. Lineage: Eukaryota; Metazoa; Mollusca; Gastropoda; Lepetellida; Haliotidae. The transcript is spliced from 3 exons. The record is from RefSeq and is a predicted model, not a curated record.